Molecule: ribosomal RNA, 468 nt
Filed under: uncultured bacterium
Lineage: Bacteria
Description: partial 16S ribosomal RNA
Rfam family: Bacterial small subunit ribosomal RNA
Source: RNAcentral
GACGAACGCUGGCGGCGUGCUUAACACAUGCAAGUCGAACGGAAAGGCCCUGCUUUUGUGGGGUGCUCGAGUGGCGAACGGGUGAGUAACACGUGAGUAACCUGCCCUUGACUUUGGGAUAACUUCAGGAAACUGGGGCUAAUACCGGAUAGGAGCUCCUGCUGCAUGGUGGGGGUUGGAAAGUUUCGGCGGUUGGGGAUGGACUCGCGGCUUAUCAGCUUGUUGGUGGGGUAGUGGCUUACCAAGGCUUUGACGGAUAGCCGGCCUGAGAGGGUGACCGGCCACAUUGGGACUGAGAGACGGACCAGACUCCUACGGGAGGCAGCAGUGGGGAAUAUUGCACAAUGGGCGGAAGCCUGAUGCAGCAACGCUGCGUGCGGGAUGACGGCCUUCGGGUUGUAAACCGCUUUCGCCUGUGACGAAGCGUGAGUGACGGUAAUGGGUAAAGAAGCACCGGCUAACUACGUG